Molecule: long non-coding RNA, 288 nt
Filed under: Chrysemys picta bellii (western painted turtle)
Lineage: Eukaryota; Metazoa; Chordata; Testudines; Emydidae
Description: lncRNA (ENSCPBG00000027299.1)
Source: RNAcentral
UGUGCGGUUACUCAUGGUCUUCUCUUCACAAAUCAGCUGUGAGAAGAUCCCAACUGGAUUCCAGGCAGCAGUCUGCUGUGAAAUGAGAGGUGCUGCGUUAGACGUGCAAGAACGACGUGCUUUCAACACCACCUGUUUUCUUCCUGCUUGUGGAUUCACCAUUAGGCAAAAAUCUUGCCGCUGGAUUUGCCCCUGGGCACUGGGUGCAAGAAACUUCCUGCAACUGGAUUCACCACUAGGGAUAAGUAUCUUCACAGAUACCCGUAAGAAACUGGAGAAGCCAUGGAU